Molecule: ribosomal RNA, 254 nt
Filed under: uncultured bacterium
Lineage: Bacteria
Description: partial 16S ribosomal RNA
Rfam family: Bacterial small subunit ribosomal RNA
Source: RNAcentral
GACAGAGGGUGCGAACGUUGUUCGGAAUUACUGGGCGUAAAGCGCAUGUAGGCUGUCGUGAAAGUCGGGUGUGAAAGCCCAGGGCUCAACCCUGGAAGUGCACUCGAAACUGCAUUGACUAGAAUCUCGGAGAGGGUAGCGGAAUUCUGGGUGUAGAGGUGAAAUUCGUAGAUAUCCAGAGGAACACCGGUGGCGAAGGCGGCUACCUGGACGAGUAUUGACGCUGAGAUGCGAAAGCGUGGGGAGCAAACAGG